Molecule: ribosomal RNA, 492 nt
Filed under: uncultured bacterium
Lineage: Bacteria
Description: partial 16S ribosomal RNA
Rfam family: Bacterial small subunit ribosomal RNA
Source: RNAcentral
AGUGAACGCUGGCGGUAGGCCUAACACAUGCAAGUCGAACGGCAGCACAGUAAGAGCUUGCUCUUACGGGUGGCGAGUGGCGGACGGGUGAGGAAUACAUCGGAAUCUACUUUUUCGUGGGGGAUAACGUAGGGAAACUUACGCUAAUACCGCAUACGACCUACGGGUGAAAGCAGGGGAUCUUCGGACCUUGCGCGAUUGAAUGAGCCGAUGUCGGAUUAGCUAGUUGGCGGGGUAAGGGCCCACCAAGGCGACGAUCCGUAGCUGGUCUGAGAGGAUGAUCAGCCACACUGGAACUUAGACACGGUCCAGACGCCUACGGGAGGCAGCAGUGGGGAAUGUUGGACAAUGGGGGGAAGCCUGAUCCAGCCAUACCGCGUGUGUGAAGAAGGCCUUCGGGUUGUAAAGCCGUUUUGUUGGGAAAGAAAAGCAGUAGGUUAAUACCCCGCGGUUCUGACGGUACCCAAAGAAUAAGCACCGGCUAACUUCGUG